Molecule: transfer RNA, 72 nt
Filed under: Batrachostomus cornutus
Lineage: Eukaryota; Metazoa; Chordata; Aves; Caprimulgiformes; Batrachostomatidae
Description: tRNA-Val
Source: RNAcentral
CAAGAUGUAGCUACAACACAAAGCAUUCAGCUUACACCUGAAAGACAUCUGACAUCAACCAGAUCAUCUUGA